This 450-nucleotide ribosomal RNA is filed under the name Podon leuckartii. RNAcentral describes it as "partial 16S ribosomal RNA". It matches the Rfam family "Bacterial large subunit ribosomal RNA", at positions 1832 to 2600 of the family's 2925-position model. Lineage: Eukaryota; Metazoa; Arthropoda; Branchiopoda; Diplostraca; Podonidae. The record is from RNAcentral.
CGCCUCUUGAAUAAUAAGAGGUACUGCCUGCUCAAUGCUUGUAGUAAAUAGCCGCGGUAUUCUGACCGUGCUAAGGUAGCAUAAUCAUUAGUCUUUUAAUUGUAGGCUGGUAUGAAUGGCAAGACGAGAAAGUGACUGUCUCUAAUAUGAUAAUUGAAGUUUACUUUUAGGUGAAAAGGCUUAAAUAAAUUCGGAGGACGAUCAGACCCUAUAGAGCUUUUUGGUUGGGGCGACAAGGAGUAAAAGUAACACUCUUUUAAAUAAACAUAUAUAAAUGAAGUAAUGAUCCCCUUUGUGGGAUUAAAAGACUCAGUUACCUUAGGGAUAACAGCGUAAUUUUUUUGGAGAGUUCUUAUCGAUAAGAAAGUUUGCGACCUCGAUGUUGGAUUAAGAUACCCGUUUGGUGCAGAAGCUAGAUUGGGAAGUCUGUUCGACUUUUAAAUUCUUACG